UUUUCUGAUCCAACGCCAUGUAUUUAUUCAAUCCCUUUUAAUAAAACUGUCCAAAAAUUAGCCAUUCGCCCUAGAUAGCCUUCGUCUUCCUCGCACCCCUAUUACUCUGCUGCCUGCCGUUGCCGGAAAUCGCCUCCACCGGUGGUGAUGCCCCAAAUCCACACAAAAUUACACCAUAGGAUCUCCUUUUCCCCUCUUCUCAAAUCCGGAUUUAGUUUCACUCGAAUCAUAACUUCUCAAAUCCUCAAUCAAAAAUCCGGCCAAAAUGGUAACUCAUCCAAAUCCGACCAAGUUAACAUCAAAUCAUCUUCUCUCUUCCCUCAUCCCAAAUUUCCACUUGGUUUUCGUCGAAUAUCACAAAAAUUCGUCGAAUCGUUAAUCUAGUAUUUUUUGAAAUCAUGUCUGUUGGGGAUUCGAAUGCUUGAUUACUUUAAGCUAAUGUUACAUGUUUAUUUGAAACGAAAAAACACACUACAUUAAUUGAAAGCCAAGUUCGAGGCCAGUCAGUCACGAGGAGGUCAAAAUUUGUGAGUUUCUUUCUUACUAUCUGCUUAUAUUGUUCAUUUUUGUUGUGUUAAUAGUUUAGUUAAAUUUCAGUGUUUUUAGAAUUAGUUUAAUUCAUGACCAUGUUUGCCGAUUAAUCAAUUUAGGAUUAGAUUUCAUGGUCUCUCAUUUUCUAUUAUCAGUUUGUUUAACUAGCAAUUCGAUUAGGAUAGUUUGUGUUUAUAUGCUUGUUCUUCAUCUCUUUUGGUCAAUAUUGGGUAUUGGCUCGUCAAGUCAGUUAAAUUCAAUUUGGAGUUAAUUGUGGUAGAAUUAGUAAAUGCAUUUUGGCUUCUUUGAUUCGUUGCUUCAUGUCAAGUAGUCUGAUUAUGUAUUUAACCAAUUAGUUGCUGCAUUUUUGUUGAGGGUUCGUGAUCAAUUUAACUUCUUCAUUUAGAAGUUUUGUUUGAUUUUGAAUGGUUGAUUGAAGUUUUGUUUGUUUAAUCUUGGUUAUUUGAUAUGUGUGGUUAUAGAUGAUAGUGUUCUUAGUUAGUUUAAUAUAGGGUUGAGGUUAAUUGAGGUAAAUCAGUAAUUUCAGAAUCUAAAUAAGGGUAGUAUAGGCAUUCCAAAGGUAGAAAACAAAUCUAGAACACUCUAGGGCCUUCUAGAAGGGGACCUUAGUGUACGUUAUAGAAUUCUUUGAGCAGUUACUUGGGCAACAAGCCACAAAUUCAGGGACUAAUCUCAAAUAAUCACUAAAUUCAGCCGCAAUGCCUUCAUGUAGAAGUUUUUGGCCAUCAAAUCCCCCCCCCCCCCCCCCCCCCCCCCNNNNNNNNNNNNNNNNNNNNNNNNNNNNNNNNNNNNNNNNNNNNNNNNNNNNNNNNNNNNNNNNNNNNNNNNNNNNNNNNNNNNNNNNNNNNNNNNNNNNNNCCCCCGAAAGGCUUUCUCUCUGAUUUUCAGAUCUAAGCUUGAAAUUCAAACCUUCAAAAUCCAAAAAACAACAAAAAAUAGAAAAAUCAAAAAAAACUUUUACCGUUUCAUUGCCUUUUAAGAUCAUUUUUAAUUCCUAUUUGAAUCUAUAUUUCUACUCUAGUUUCGAGUUUUAGAAAAGCAUCUAGAAGGAUUUGAUAACUGGUUCAAGUGCAUUUGGGUCUUCUUGAGUUAGGUUUUGGUUGAGUUUUACUCCAGUGAAGUUUCAGAAGCAUCUAAGUUUAAUUUCGAAGGCAUUUGGAUGAUUUUCGGGUCAUUGUGGUGUUAUUCAAGUCAUUUGGGUCAAUUUCCUGCAUAAUUUGUGUGUUGUCAUCUGUUGAUAUCAUUUGAGACUGUUUUGGAUUGGGACAGGCUGUGAUUAUCCCUAGCUACUGCUUAUCUACUGAUCUACUUUGUUCUUCCUGUAUUGCACUUUUCCAGGUACACAUUUCGAGUUGGUUUUGAUGUAUCCUCCUCCUAUUGACAACAUGAAUAGAAGAUAAAAUCAAUUCUCUACUUUGGAUCUAUUAUUUUGUUAUAUCUAAAUAAUUUUGUUGUGAUUUUGUGGUUGAGCAGUGUAAUCACAUUUAGGAUGACUUAUUUGAAGUAGGUUAUGUAAUAAUUAGACUAUGUGCUUACUAUUUCAUGGGUUCAUAUUGUGAGUUAAAUGCAUAAGUUAGCUUCAGUAGUCAUAAAGUAGGUUUGAAUAGCUUCAUAUUUCAAUAUGUUAUUUAGGUAGUACUGUUAUGCAAUCGCGAUUCACUUGAAAGGUAAAGUCAGUUUGAAUUGUUUGGACUUAAAUUGUUUGAUUUAAAUUCCAGGCUACGUGGCUUUGUUUUUUAUUAAUUUGGCCCUUAGUGUUUUAAUGAGUGGGCUAGACUUAGCUCUAGUGGCCACGUUCGUUUGGUCCCUGGCUGAAGUCUGUGAAUGGUCAGAUUUUGGCAUGGGCCUAAGUGCAACUUUCCCUCCUUUGGCACACCCUGGAAGUUCAUGGCUUGUUUAAUUCAAAGCUAACAAACGGAAU
Molecule: long non-coding RNA, 2473 nt
Filed under: Nicotiana benthamiana
Lineage: Eukaryota; Viridiplantae; Streptophyta; Magnoliopsida; Solanales; Solanaceae
Description: long non-coding RNA (NBEN_LNC040205)
Source: RNAcentral